This 23-nucleotide non-coding RNA is filed under the name Arabidopsis thaliana (thale cress). Lineage: Eukaryota; Viridiplantae; Streptophyta; Magnoliopsida; Brassicales; Brassicaceae. The record is from RNAcentral.
CACGCAAAGGGCCCAUUUCCAUC